UCUUAGCUUGGCAAUAAAAUAU
RNAcentral lists this microRNA (22 nucleotides) under Drosophila melanogaster (fruit fly). RNAcentral's name for it is "dme-miR-2280-5p". Lineage: Eukaryota; Metazoa; Arthropoda; Insecta; Diptera; Drosophilidae. The record is from miRBase by way of RNAcentral.